RNAcentral lists this unclassified non-coding RNA (272 nucleotides) under soil metagenome. RNAcentral describes it as "partial contains small subunit ribosomal RNA, internal transcribed spacer 1, and 5.8S ribosomal RNA". The record is from RNAcentral.
UUUCCGUAGGUGAACCUGCGGAAGGAUCAUUGCCGAGCGUGCGCGCGCCGUGUGGCCUCACCGCCGUCACGACGCGUCGCAUUUCUCCAAACCCAUGUGAACUCUGUAUUCGUGACUCGUGCGCGCGCGCGGUCUUCCGCACGCACACACUUUUUACAAACGACGUUGACUGUGCUUCUCUGACUGAGACAACUGUCCACGUUCGCUAACGCGGCGUGCUGACAUAAAAAACCAACAUAUCACAACUUUUAACAACGGAUAUCUUGGCUCGC